CUACGGGGCGCACCAGUGAGGAAUAUUGCACAAUGGGGGGAACCCUGAUGCAGCAACGCCGCGUGGAGGAUGACGCAUUUCGGUGUGUAAACUCCUUUUAUAUGUCAAGAAAAUGACGGUAGCAUAUGAAUAAGCACCGGCUAACUCCGUGCCAGCAGCUGCGGUAAUACGGAGGGUGCAAGCGUUACUCGGAAUCACUGGGCGUAAAGGACGCGUAGGCGGGUUGGAAAGUCAGGUGUGAAAUCCUACAGCUUAACUGUAGAACUGCACUUGAAACUUCUAAUCUAGAGUAUGGGAGGGGGAGAUGGAAUUAGUGGUGUAGGGGUAAAAUCCGUAGAUAUCGCUAGGAAUACCUAAAGCGAAGGCGAUCUCCUGGAACAUUACUGACGCUAAGGCGUGAAAGCGUGGGGAGCAAACAGGAUUAGAUACCCCUGUAGUC
This 439-nucleotide ribosomal RNA is filed under the name uncultured bacterium. Its description in RNAcentral is "partial 16S ribosomal RNA". It matches the Rfam family "Bacterial small subunit ribosomal RNA", at positions 339 to 795 of the family's 1533-position model. The record is from RNAcentral.